Molecule: ribosomal RNA, 447 nt
Filed under: Triticum aestivum (bread wheat)
Lineage: Eukaryota; Viridiplantae; Streptophyta; Magnoliopsida; Poales; Poaceae
Description: partial small subunit ribosomal RNA
Source: RNAcentral
AUGUGCCCCCCCACCUUCCGCCUCUACCUCACAACCUGGGUCGCCAAGCUCGCCGCCUGCUUCAAGCCUUCAACCCCUACCUCCAGAUCACCAUCUCGAAGUACGGCGCCGAGCGCUUCUAGCGCAGUGACUUCUUCCUCGUCGUUGAGGCCAACCUCAGCGACGCCUGCGCCCGCCGCGCGCGCAAGCUCAAGGCCGAGCUCGGCAAGGACAGCAAGAACCUCCGGGUCUCCGUGGACGACCACGAGGAGGUCACUGACGACUUCUGCGGGACCACCAUCUGGUGGUACGCCUCCAAGAGGCAAUCCAAGGCCAACGUCAUCCAUUUAUACCCCGGCCAGGACGAGAGGCGCUUCUACCGGGUUGUCUUCCAUCGACGGCACCGCGACCUUGUCGUUGACUCCUACCUUCCUUUCAUACUCGGCGAGGGCCGCGCUGUCACUGUGA